This is a long non-coding RNA of Scylla paramamosain (green mud crab), 4874 nucleotides long. RefSeq lists it as uncharacterized. The transcript has 4 exons. The record is from RefSeq and is a predicted model, not a curated record. Lineage: Eukaryota; Metazoa; Arthropoda; Malacostraca; Decapoda; Portunidae.
GGGGCGGGCUGAGGGACAGUCAGUGAGGGCAGGUGGCGCUGGGGAGAGAGCGGGCCGCUGGCUGGAAUGUUUUGGUCGGCACUAGUCAGUCUUGCUACACACAUUCUAGUGACUAGUGAUUAUUUAUUAUCAGCAGCUUCUUCCUGCACCAAGCACCACCAAGCAGCUGAGAGGCACCACUAUUCAAGACACAGGGUGACCUUAUCAGCUGUGUUAUACCUACAAGGAUCUGCCACACUCCAGACACUGCGCAAGUAGCGGUGAAAGAGCCUUAUGAACGCAAACUUCACUGCUGGAUCGUGUCACCUCCCAGCAAACACAUCAACCAGCGCAGUAUAUGCUCAGAACACAAGCGGGUGAUGGGAGGUGACAGACACGCAUGUACUGAGUGAGCGGCUUCCCCGAGGUUUCCUUCGCUGGGUCAGGCCGGGGCUUGACCUGGAUGGGUGCCAGCAGUUGCCUCGCUCAGCUGCACACGUGGGCGAGGAAUGUUUGGAGAGAGGCGCUCCCGCCAUCUACAUGAAACAGGUGAUAUUAGGAUGGGAACAACAUCCUCUUUUGGCAAGCUUUCCAACAAGUCUGGAGUCUAGUCUACACUUGUCGGGCAACAAAUCUCCGAGCCAUUAAUAAUGUCUGAUUAGCGAAGGAAAUUGUACACUGUCAGUCACCUGGCUAGUCUGUCAGUCAGUUGAUUGUCAGUUAAAAUUCUGAGCCAUAAGCAGUAGUUGAUUCAUGAAGCGUUAAUUAAUUAACGAAGCACCUUGUAUAUAGGUACUCAGUCUUGUGUGUGUGAGAAACUCAGGAGACAAGGGGCGUUGCAAUCAAUUACUGAGCGUGUGGCAGAGAUGUGAACGCCUCACUUGACCUGGACUGACGCCCCACUGCUUCUUUCAGAGACGCACCCGAGAGCCUGAGUGCCAGCUGCGGUCGCCUCUCCGGUGUGAUUCGCGUGUGGCUUUAAAGUUCAGGUAUAAAGUGGAAAUCAGUCUGAACGUGGCUGCCUUAGUGACUGGAUGUAAUGUGUAUUAUUACUGGAAUAAUUACUUUAUUGCUAAAUUACAUUAGCAACACGAUUCAGUGUUCGUACGGCUUUUUUACUGCAAUUGGUGUGUGGAUUGAGACAGGCCUUGUAAGUAUAUAUCUAAUGAAGUUAGGUUGUCUGUUACGUUAAUGUCCAUGGAGAUUAUGGUAAUUUAGGUUCGUUUAGGUUAGGUCAGUGUUCUUAAGAUGUGUGUGGACAGAAAACAUUUUGGGUAUCAAGUGGUUCGGGCAUUAAGUGUCAUGUAAUCUGUGUUUUAAACGCCUCUGUGGUUCAGUAAUUUUAAUCAAUAUAUAUAUAUAUAUAUAUAUAUAUAUAUAUAUAUAUAUAUAUAUAUAUAUAUAUAUAUAUAUAUAUAUAUAUAUAUAUAUAUAUAUAUAUAAUAAGCAUUUUUAUCAUCAACUGAGAGGAAUAAUGUGAAAAAUGCCAACGAAAUUCGUUUGAAAUUGUUUAGUAGCUUAUUAUUUAUUAUUUAUUUUUUCUGUCCUCUUUCACCUCCUCCUCUGUUAUUUUCUCGUCCUCCUCGUCCUUGUCUUCGUCCCUCACCACGCGCACCACAAAGGAAAAGUAUAAAAAAAUAUCAAUAAAUUAAACUUGUAAUAGUUAUUUUCUCGUCCUCCUCGUCCUUAUCUUCGUCUCUCACCAAGCACACCACAAAGGAAAAGUAUAAUAAAAUACCAAUAAAUUAAACUUGUAAUAGUUAAAGUAAAUUAUCAUCGUUACGUCCUCUUCUCCGUCUUCUUUCUCAUCCUCUUUAUCACUCUCUCCUCGUUGCCCUCUUCGCUUUCAUGUCCCACCACCCACACCACCUCCUCUCGUCUCAGGUACUCCCUUUGUUGCAUCAGGUUCGUUCAGGCUUGAGUAAGGCAGCAAAAGCCCGUCAGAUGCCCUUUAGAAACCUAGUUAUCCCAAAGUCAACGUAAUUUAACUUUUGGAUUAGUCUCCCCGCUCCUUCUCUGGCCGAGGGUCCGCGAGAGGUGGCGGAGUGUGAAGGAGUGCGCGAGAGGGUCAUCCCGUUUUCUGUUUCUUGUGGUAGUGCUGACUGGUGUUUUGUUUGGUGUUUGGUUCGUGUGGUUUUGAAAUGGAGAGGAGAAGGAGGAGGAGAUGAUGAUGGAAGUAGGAGGAAGAGGAUAUGAGAAUAGGAGGAGGAGGAAGAAGAGAUGACGAUAGAGAAAUGUUGUUGGUUGUGAGGUUGGUCUCUCUCUCUCACUCACUCUCUCUCCGAAAGCAACUUUUACCCCCAUCUAUCUCUUUGCUUCUUCAUUCGUCUUCACUUUUCUUUCUUUAUAUUGUCAUGUCUUCGAUUGAAUCUCUCUCUCUCUCUCUCUCUCUCUCUCUCUCUCUCUCUCUCUCUCUCUCUCUCUCUCUCUCUCUCUCUCUCUUUCUCUGAUUUUCUGUGUUAUUGCAUUAAUUUAGUUUCCAUCAGAGAGAGAGAGAGGGACAGAGAGAGAGAGAGAGAGAGAACUAGUGAAUCAUGUAACCAAUCAAUUAACAGCCUCAGUUGCCUCCCUUUCAUGUCUAUGCGUCAGUGGACCUUUUCUCUCCUCUGUCACCUGUCUGUUUUGCUGUCUAUAUUCCUGUCUACUUUGCCCUCUGUUUUACUGUCUUUUGUGUUGUUUUGCUGUGUAUUUUGCUGUUUUGCUUUCUAUUUUGCUGUCUUUUUGCUGUUAUGUUUAGUUCAAGCUGUUUUCCUGCUGUUUAUUGGCUUUUAAGUUGUCUAUUACCAGCUCUGUUGUUGUUUGUUUCCACCUGCCUUGUCCCUGUUGUUUUCUGUUUGGCUGUCUUUUUUUCCGUUUGUUCCGCCUGUUUUGCUGUCUGUUACGAGCUGCCUCCCUUCCGUCUGUUCUUGGCUGUCAGUUGCAUUGGUGUCUCUUACCAGCUGUCUAUUGAAACAUCACUCAUUCAUUGUUUCUUCCUACAUAUUUUUUUUUUAUUUAGCACCAUUUCCACGAAUUUGAGAGAAGAAAAAAAAACUUACCUUAUUUUCACGUGUCACCCUCAUUCAAUUUACGGAAAACACCAGUGAUUCGUAUUUUUCUCUGUCUUUUUAUUCGGAUUGGUUAUCACACGUUGUUUUUUUCCACAUUUCAUUCUUUACGUAACAGAAACUUAAUCCGUAAAAUGACUCUGCGUUGCACUGAAAGGCAAACUCAAUACUCGGGUCGCUUACUACAGCUGUUUUGGACGGAGUAACUGAAUUAAUUAAGAGGGGAAAAAAAAAGAGUUGAUACGGUUUUCCCCCAGAGAGAGAGAGAGAGAGAGAGAGAGAGAGAGGGGGGAGGGAGGUGACUAUAAAAUUAGGAGAUUAUGGUCCAUUAAACACCCAUUACAAUAACCAGGUUUUAUCAAAACAUGCAUUCCGGGAUUAAAAUCUUACGUAAUUCAUUCAGUGUGUGGAUUGGGAGUCUGCCGCUUGGAAAAAAAAUAAAUAAAUAAAUGAUAGAAAUGCAUGUUGUUUGUGCGUCUGAAAGUCUGUUAUCGCGUCUGUGCACUUUCCCAGAGAGAGAGAGAGAGAGAGAGAGAGAGCGACAAAUUUGAUAAAAACCCAUUGCUUGCUCUACACUACAUCAGUACACGCCUUCAUUCACACCAAAAAUAGUCUCCUGUCCCAUUGCACGCGAGGGAUGCUGCAAAUACAUGAACAAAUGAAUAAAUAAGUAAGUGACCCCUAAAUAAAUAAUGUAUGAUAAAGGAUCGUAAUUUAAGAUGUACAGUUUUGCUCGUUAUUUCCCGUAGAAUACAUAAUAGAUGUUACGUAUACAGGUUUCAUGGUAAAUUUCCCUUUGUUUGUACGGUCUUGUUUAGUUUUGUAUUGUAUUUCUAGUCUGUUCAACGUUUUCUUUAUAUUUAUAGUCUAGCCAGCUUGUCUUUGUGUGUAUAACCUGGUAACUUUCUCUCUCUCUCUCUCUCUCUCUCUCUCUCUCUCUCUCUCUCUCUCUCUCUCUCUCUCUCUCUGCGUGUGUUUAUAUGUUUUUUCAUCAUCAUCAUCAUCAUCAUUCAUCAUCAUCAUCAUCAUCAUCAUCAUCAUCACUAGCGGUAUUCUCUCUCAUCUCUCAUCGUCUUUUCUUAAUCUACCUUGCUUUCAUUGCUCUUCCUCUGUCUCACGAGCGUAUUUGUCUGUUUCCCUUAGAGGCUUCACUGCCCCCUCCUCCUCCUCCUCCUCCUCCUCCUCCUCUUCCUCCUCCUCCUCCUCCUCCUCCUCCUCCUCCUCCUCCUCCUCCUCCUGCUGCUGCUGCUGCUGCUUUCAAGAUGAGAGGCUGUUGCUCUUUUGAUCACGAGUCCUCUUAUUAGUCUUCACGCUCUCUCUCUCUCUCUCUCUCUCUCUCUCUCUCUCUCUCUCUGGAAAGGUGCACAGACACGAUUAAGUGUGUGUGCGCGCGCGCGUCCGAGCCUUGAAUACUUAAAGGCCUCGGGGGGCGCUAUUAUCCCUAACUGAUUAAUUAAACACAUCAAAUUGACUUGCUUUUCCGGAACAAGCCCCGAGGCACCUCCACUCCACUUCCUCGAGUCACAGGCGGGGCAGGCGUGUUAAUGAGGCAGCCUGCGGGUGAUAAGGGGGCGGGGGAGUGGGAGUGUGUGGCCUUCGUGCUACAGAGGGUUAGUUAUCAGUAUCAUUAUUGCCAAACUUGACACUGGGUUCGUGAUUUAGAAGCCACGCCCAUUCCUUCAUUCUCUACAGGGCUGGUGAUUAUUGCACGAGGAAAGUUAAAUUGUGUUGUAAAGUUAGGUUUCCAGGAGCAUAAUAAGGUGUUAAUUCUUUGAUACAUUGAGUCUUUUAAGUUACUAAUUAGUGAAUGCUGUUAAAUUACAAUAAAAUGUUAUAUUUCUAAGAGUA